Molecule: long non-coding RNA, 2180 nt
Organism: Cannabis sativa
Lineage: Eukaryota; Viridiplantae; Streptophyta; Magnoliopsida; Rosales; Cannabaceae
Exons: 3
Source: RefSeq, a predicted model, not a curated record
UUCUUUUUUCUUUUGACAGCUCGCUAAUUAACCCCACCACCCAGGUCCCUUGAUACCCAAUGACACGCCCCUGAUACCCAAUGAAACCCACGAAACCCACACCCCUUAUACCCAGAAAAACUCACGCCCCUUAUACCCAAAGAAACCCACGCCCGUUCUCAUCCUCAUCUCGUCGGAGGCGUCGCCCAACCCCGAGCAUCUCAGUCGGCAUCGCCCAACCCCGUUUUGUUCCCUCUCCGACCAUGACGAUGACCACAAAGAAUCUCUGCCCAUGAAGCAUCUCCGGCUACGAAGAGUAUUGCAAAUACAACAAAUAGUGAAGAAACUUGGGCAUAUAUGGCAUUUAGUGCUUCUGCAAAGAAUGUGAGACAAUUAAUUUGUCAUUUGUUAAUUAAUUAAAACAUAUAAUUAAUAUGCCAGCAGGUAUUUAUAAAAUCCUAAAUUAUAUAUAUACAAAAUAUCUGCAAUAUAUAUACUUUUAAACCCAAAUGAUAUUUCGGCUUCCACAAAAAAUGGAGCCUUUCUGUAUCUAGGAAGGAAGAGAUUAGGAGUUUGGUCCUUUUGGCCUCCGAAGAGGUGGCUAGGCUGAGCUCGAGGUGAAUACGGAAUCAAGUUACAGCGUCGUUUCCAUGGCUACUCUGAAUCAAUGUGUUGUUGUUUAUUUCCCCACCACUACUCGCUGUGAUCAAUGUAAAGUGGUUUGUCACUGGUAUUUAUUUUGACUUGCCAUUAUUAAAUUUUGAUAAUUAAAAAAUUGUGUGUUAUAAUUAAAUGAUUUGCUCUGUUUAGUUUUUAUUCAAUUAGAAUUAGAUUUUUGCGAGGGACGUUUUAUAGUGUCGAGUGGGGACUUUGAUACAGUUAAGCUUAAUCCUCAUCAUUCAAGCACUAUAACAAUACUCAUUGACUAAUCUCAUAGUGUCAUGUAGUUUCCAGAGGCUGCUUCCAUCAUAAUACACAUAUACUAAGUAUUUUCUUAUUAUUAACAUAAAUAUAUAUGUGGAAUUGGAUUGUGUUCAGUGUUCUUCAAGGAAGCGUAAGUGAGUUUUGCUUCCACAAUUGCAAACCAGCUCCAGUCAUAAUUGUUCCAGGCAAAGGUGCCUAAGUGGGAUCCAAUAGUGGGUGUUUUGAAAGCAUCUGCUAGUGUACAUACCUUGUUUGGGAAAAUGCCUGAAACAAUGACAUAAUCAGAUUUGUAUGGUAUGUUUCGUGUUAGUUUCUUAUAAGUGUUAAUACGAAUGGAAAUGUACGUCUUCUAUGUUUUUUAUGGUGAUGUUUGAAGUGGUAUUAUUCUAAACCUUAAUAAUGUGAUUGAUUUUUUAAUGAAAUAUAUGUACAUCCAAGAUAUAAAUGCAUUAAAGUUAAUUUGUAUUAAGGACUUUGUAACUUGCUGCCAAACUUUCAAAUUGGAGACCUUGGUGAAUGGUAGCUUUUAUUUUCUUUGUACGCUUGGCAAAUGUAGAUGGCUCAUAUCCUGAUAUGUUGGUCUAUUAUGCAGACUUUGGUGUGGUGAUGCUGGUGGUAUGAAGAGGUCAACUUCUGUAAAUGAUUCAACUUGCACACAAUAUCUACUUUUAAUAUUUAGUUCAAAAAAAAUUAUGCAGACUUUGUACCACAUUGAUGGUGAAUUUAAGAAUUACAUUUCCCUAUAUAUAUAUACAAUAGAAUAUGGAAAUUUAAAGAAAAGUAAAUAUGCAUACUUUGAUGUUAUGCUCUGUUUUGCUGUUUGAUGUUUGAUGUUUAAGUGCAUUUUUAAAUUUGUUUUGAUUUUAAAAUGUUAUUGUUGGGGUACUUUCACAGGUGUUGUUUGAUCCAGAACUUUGGUCAGUGCUUGGACUUGCUGGCUACGAACUAUUUAAACUAUAAAAAGGUGUACUACAAGAAUGUAUAGGGGCUUCUAGCUUCUGAGUUGGAGAUAGGGGUUUCACAUUCUUUUUUAUGUUUGUUUGUUUGCCUAAUUUAGUGUUAGUUUUUUUUUUUGUUCAUUUAGUUUGGUUUGUAUUGGGGUAACUUUUUUCAGUUUUCCAUGUUAGCAACUCUGAUCCAUGGAGUUUGUUAUUGUAGUUCAUAGACAAUACAAUUCAAGCAAGGAUUAUGUAAUUGAAUUUUUUAUGAUUUCUAUUGUAACUUUUAUGUAUUGAAUAAAUGUGUUCAAUAUUAUUUAAAUAUAGCUUUUUGAAUAA